Molecule: ribosomal RNA, 462 nt
Filed under: uncultured bacterium
Lineage: Bacteria
Description: partial 16S ribosomal RNA
Rfam family: Bacterial small subunit ribosomal RNA
Source: RNAcentral
AGUGAACGCUGGCGGCGUGCCUAAUACAUGCAAGUCGAACGGAGAUUAAGUAGCUUGCUAUUUAAUCUUAGUGGCGCACGGGUGAGUAAUAUAUAGCUAACUUGCCCAUUACUAAGGGACAACAGUUGGAAACGACUGCUAAUACCUUAUACUCCGUAUCUAUAUAAGUAGAUACGGGAAAGUUUUUCGGUAAUGGAUAGGGCUAUAUCGUAUCAGCUAGUUGGUAAGGUAAUGGCUUACCAAGGCUAUGACGCGUAACUGGUCUGAGAGGAUGAUCAGUCACACUGGAACUGAGACACGGUCCAGACUCCUACGGGAGACAGCAGUAGGGGAUAUUGCUCAAUGGGGGAAACCCUGAAGCAGCAACGCCGCGUGGAGGAUGACACUUUUCGGAGCGUAAACUCCUUUUCUUGGGAAAGAAUUAUGACGGUACCCAAGGAAUAAGCACCGGCUAACUCCGUG